This 49-nucleotide transfer RNA is filed under the name Elseya novaeguineae (New Guinea snapping turtle). RNAcentral's name for it is "partial tRNA-Glu". The record is from RNAcentral. Lineage: Eukaryota; Metazoa; Chordata; Testudines; Chelidae.
GUUCCUGUGGUUUUAUGUGUUCUUUAGUUGGAUAGUGAUUGGUUGUUCC